This 467-nucleotide ribosomal RNA is filed under the name uncultured bacterium. Its description in RNAcentral is "partial 16S ribosomal RNA". It matches the Rfam family "Bacterial small subunit ribosomal RNA", at positions 28 to 506 of the family's 1533-position model. The record is from RNAcentral.
GACGAACGCUGGCGGCGUGCUUAACACAUGCAAGUCGAACGGAAAGGCCCUGCUUUUGUGGGGUGCUCGAGUGGCGAACGGGUGAGUAACACGUGCGUAACCUGCCCUUGACUUUGGGAUAACUUCAGGAAACUGGGGCUAAUACCGGAUAGGAGCUCCUGCUGCAUGGUGGGGGUUGGAAAGUUUCGGCGGUUGGGGAUGGACUGGCGGCUUAUCAGCUGGUUGGUGGGGUAGUGGCUUACCAAGGGUUUGACGGGUAGCCGGCCGGCGAGGGUGACCGGCCGCCUGGGGACUGAGAGACGGCCCAGACUCCUACGGGAGGCAGGAGUGGGGAAUAUUGAACAAUGGGCGGAAGCAUGAGGCAGCAACGCCGCGUGCGGGAGGGCGGCCUUCGGGUGGUAAACCGCUUUCGCCUGGGACGAAGCGUGAGUGACGGUAAUGGGUAAAGAAGCACCGGCUAACUACGU